ACUAGUCGAGUGACCCUGCGCCGAAAAUGUACCGGGGCUAAAACAUAUUACCGAAGCUGUGGAUGACACGUUAGUGUCAUGGUAGGAGAGCGUUCUAUGUGUGAAGAAGGUGUACCGUGAGGAGCGCUGGAACGCAUAGAAGUGAGAAUGCCGGUAUGAGUAGCGAAAGACAGGUGAGAAUCCUGUCCACCGUAAGACUAAGGUUUCCAGGGGAAGGCUCGUCCGCCCUGGGUUAGUCGGGACCUAAGGAGAGACCGAAAGGUGUAUCCGAUGGCCAACAGGUUGAUAUUCCUGUACUAGAGUAUAAAGUGAUGGAGGGACGCAGUAGGCUAACUAAAGCAGGCGAUUGGAAGAGCCUGUCUAAACAGUGAGGUGUAAGAUGAGUCAAAUGCUUAUCUUUAUAACAUUGAGCUGUGAUGGGGAGCGAAGUUAAGUAGCGAAGUUAGUGACGUCACACUGCCAAGAAAAGCUUCUAGCGUUUAAUGAUACUCUACCCGUACCGCAAACCGACACAGGUAGUCGAGGCGAGUAGCCUCAGGUGAUCGAGAGAACUCUCGUUAAGGAACUCGGCAAAAUGACCCCGUAACUUCGGGAGAA
RNAcentral lists this ribosomal RNA (597 nucleotides) under Streptococcus dysgalactiae subsp. equisimilis. Its description in RNAcentral is "bacterial LSU rRNA". It matches the Rfam family "Bacterial large subunit ribosomal RNA", at positions 1144 to 1744 of the family's 2925-position model. Lineage: Bacteria; Bacillati; Bacillota; Bacilli; Lactobacillales; Streptococcaceae. The record is from RNAcentral.